RNAcentral lists this long non-coding RNA (4301 nucleotides) under Homo sapiens (human). RNAcentral's name for it is "HSALNT0070735". Lineage: Eukaryota; Metazoa; Chordata; Mammalia; Primates; Hominidae. The record is from RNAcentral.
CUUCUAUGCUGUGGAAGUUUUUUUUUUUUUGCUAUGUGUUGUGGGAGGUUUGUUCUUUCACUUUUGCUGCUGCUGCUCACUCUUUGGGUCAGUGCCACCUUUAUGAGCUGUAACACUCACUGCGAAGGUCUGCAGCUUCACUCCUGAAGUCAGCAAAACCAUGAACCCACCAGUAGGAAGAAACUCCGGACACGUCCAGACAUCAGAAGGAACAAACUCUGGACACACCAUCUUUAAGAACUAUAACACUCACUGCAAGGGUCAGUGGCUUCAUUCUUGAGGUCAGGGAGACCAAGAACCCACGAAUUCCCGACACACUCUCAGGACCAUUCCAUCUGGCUUCCUUUUUCGGAACCUAACUACAUACAUGCCAUUGUCCUACCAAACACUUGAAAGCAUUAGCCAUACUUAAGAUUUCUUUUCUUCUUACUCAGCCAACAGGCAGAGGAUAUUCCAGCCAAAGUCUCUAGCUUUUAGACUAUUCCAGUCUGCAUCACCUGGAUUGAAAUGAGCGGGAGAGAGGGAACUGUUCUUUCUUCCUCUCUGUGGGCAGAAGGUAAUGGGGAAAGCCAGAAUGUACCAACAAGUCUUUCCUUAUCUCUGGACCUUUCAAAUUCCAAGGAAUGUUUUUCUCCUCACAUAUAGUCUUAGGGUUAGAGGUAGUUGCAGGCUGAAUGAGUAACCCUAUCUUUUAGCAAGUCUGGCUAGAUAGAUUGGAAACUUGACUGAGAAUGUAGGACUUAAAAAUAUUGUCUCCUAUUUUGAGCCGUUUCCAAACAUCUGAGAUGACAGGAAAAUGUUUUUUUUAUUUAUUUACUUAUUUAUUGUUUGAGACAUAACCUCGCACUGUCGCCAGGCUGGAGUGCAGUGGUGCAACCUUGGCUCACUGCGACCUCCACCUCCCGGGUUCAAGCGAUUCUCUUGUCGCAGCCUCCCGGGUUGCUGGGACCACAGGCGCACACCACCACGACCAGCUAAUUUUUGUAUUUUUAGUAGAGACGGGGAUUUAUCAUGUUGGCCACGGUGGUCUUGAUUUCUUGACCUCAUGAUCCGCCUGCCUUGGCCUCUCAAAGUGUUGGGACUACAGGCAUGAGCCACCGAGCCCAGCCAAAAUGUUACUUUUAACAUUCUGUUACAUACAUAAAUAUUCAGAAGUGCUACAGUUGUUAAGUUUUAACUGGAACUUAUUGAUUCAUAUAAUUGUGAGGCAGACAGGUAAUUCUGGUUUCCAUUACAGUUGGCUCAAAUGAUCUCAACAGCCCCCCUCUCUCUCUGUCUCAUUAAUUGCUGUUCUCAUUUUUUUCUCUUUCUCUUACUUAGGAGAUUCUGUUUUCUGAUGGAAAUUGUCUCAUAUUAUUAACAUAAAUAAGGUUUGGGCAAGAAAAAUGGAUAAAUCAUGAAAUUUUAUGGUCUUAACAAGGUAUAAAACACCGCUUGACUACCAACAAUUGUCAUUGGUUUAAUAUCCCAUUAACUAGAAUAGACUAGGUUCCUGCAUUAUUUAUUCCAUUGAUUUUGUUGAAAAGAUAAUGUACAUCUUCAGCAACUAUAUGCAUUAACAAGAGAAUGGUAAGGUAUAUUUAAUAGUGGAAACUAUAUUAGUACACGUAUUAUUAUUGCAAAAUGCAAAAAGAAAUUGAGUUAUAAAUCUGCCCUGCUGCUCUGUAUAUAAUUAUUUCUACUGGGAUUCUCAUAAUAUUGUACACAUAUAUUUGCUGACCUUCUAGACAAAGAAAUACAUUCUGUGAUAUGUGAAAUAUAUUGUAACCCAGAAGUGGAAUGUUUUCCCUAGUGAGGGUUCAUUUAAAUAAUUUUAUCAUCACCAUGGUGGGUUUUUUUGUUUGUUUUUUUUACAACACAGUCUGUGGUUCACAGCAUCGGUGACCAUAGUCCCUAAAGUGAGAUAAAAUGUGUUAGAGAAGAAAUGAACACCUGCUGGAGUUACUUUUGUUUUGACUAGAGGCAGUUUGAUAUUCAGCUAGAGAGAGGCAUAUGCAAGGGAAAGGAUGUAUACAGUGAUUAAAACCAUGUUUUUUUGCCAGUGGGGGUUCUAUACACGUUUUAUCACUGUUUCUGGAGGCAAAACAAGAAGGUGUGUAUCCCUUUGUAUCCCAGGGCCACACCAUUAAUCUCAUCCAGAAUGAAGACAGAAGGUCUCAGUAUGUGGUGCCCAUAGAACAGAUAUAUUUUAAUAGACCAGAGCUUGAUGCUAUCACAAACACCAGCAUUUGCCAAGUUUAACGUGAAAUAAACUCUACUCUUGCAAAUAAGUGAAAUAGAAUAAAAUAUAAAAAACAUCUGUUUUCAAAUUAUUUUAAAGUUAUAAAUGAAAUGAGACACUUCCUGGCUCAGUCAACUUGUUUUUAUGAGUUAAUGGGCUGUGAUGCCAGUUUUCUUUUAAUACUAAAAUCCAUUUUAAGGUGGUUCUUACAGCCUUUAGCGAAAUGAUGGUUCUCCAGAGAGAAAUUUUUUUUUUUUUUAAAUUUCUGUGAUGCCUACUUGCUCACAAAUAGUGCAUGGGGUUUGGCACAUAUAUGAGCACCUAGGUAUGUAUAAUGAAUUGUUUGAGAGAGAUAUUAGUGGGUUAUCAUUUAGCCCAUAGCCAAUACUGGGAAUCUGGUGGAAGGGAGUAACUUUUUAGAAAGACCACUUUUGGGGCUCCAACUGCUUGGUUUACAAAAUCUUAUUUAUUUGUCUUUUAUGUUAUUCAUUUAUUAUUAUUAUUAGUGACUAUUUCCCUCUUUUUCUCCAUCUCAAAAACAACAACAACAAAGAAAUAUGUGUUCAUGAAAAGCUUUUAGUAACUAAAAAUGAUUAGUUAAAUUUAAAAAACAAAGUUUUGUAAGAACUGGGAUACGACCCAAAAAACUGUUAGAUCAAAAUACAUCAGUUUUAAAAUACCUAUAAAGGAGCAGGAGAUCCAAAAGCCAUCGAGAUGCACCCUUUCUCAACUUUGUAGUCCCUCUUUCUUCAUUUAUUGCUGCACCACAGACGUUUUGGAGUUCAGGGAAUUCAGAAAAUCCCACCCUAAACAUGCCACUUUGGCAUAUUGAUUGUUUUAAAUUGAAGAAACUUCAAAAAAAUAGCAGAUGCAGAAUGGGCAUUUUGACCUUAAAAGCAAGAGAUAAAACUCCCACAUAGAAGAGGUGCCCUCUCUGUACCUUAAGGAAGAAAGACGUUCUUAUUUUGAGAAAGGGCAGUCAAAACCCAGAGAAAUCUGUACAAGCAAACUUUGUUCAAAUAAUCCUUAUAUUCCUAGUCAUUUCUUUACAAUUAGCUAGUGUAGUCCCAAAACCCCUUUCUUUGUCACGUUUUCACACUGUCUGACACUUGGUUCAACUCAGUAGAUAAGUGUUCAACUCUGCUUCUUGGGGUCUUCAUUUCUUUUUGAGAGAUUCCAUGUCAUGUAAAACUUAUAUUAAAUAAAUUUGCAUAUUUUUCUUCUAUUAAUCUAUCAUAUGCUAGUCUAAUUCUCAGGCUUAGCUGGAAAACCUUAGUAGGGUAGAGAUAAAAUUUUGCCUCCCCUACGGAUUUCAAAAAUAUUCUUUUUGAUACCUACUCUAAGGGUUGAUGUAGUAAAACUGUUCUUAGCUUAGUGUUUGGCAUUAGAAAAAGCAAUCAAUGUUAAUAAUUAUUUAUAGGUACUGGUAAAGAUAUCCCAGAGACCCCAUCUGUAUUAGGCAGGAUAGAUUAGGAACUGCUGAUAAGUGGGGCUACUGGCUCUCUCAGGCAGCUACUGGAUCUGGCAACUUAGAUAUCUAGAUUACUAUUACCUUGUAUUUUGUUUAUCCCAAUGAAUGCACAUCCUUCAUAAUCACUGCGUAGAGGAAGAUAGUUCUGGAGUGUAACCUCUGCUUUCAGUUCACUGUCCAGUACUAUUACACAGUCUGAGGUAACUGCAACUAGACUGGGAAAUGUGGGAGAACAUAUAUUCAGUAUGUAGAAAGUAUUUUGGCCACAUCAGCCAUAUAGCAAGGAAAUAUUUAUCUGCUUGGUAAUGCAAUUAAUCAAUAGUAAUUGUAUGUGAUAAUUUUCUCUACUUAAAUAACAGGUUAAAAAAACAGUAGUACUGGUUAAAACCCUUAUAUAGAGAGUGACAUAUUCUGGAAAUAAAUGAAUAUUUGAGUAUUUAAAAUAUAACUUUCUUACAUAUUGUAUAUUCUUAGAAGGAUGAUAUUUCAAAGUAGAAAGACAUGCUCUAUGCUAACUGCUAGAAUGGCUUACUCUAUAUUCAAACUAUGUUCAUUGUUUAAGUACACUGUAGACUUUUGAACUGAUACUUGUGUUGUAUAAUGUUUUUC